CUCUUUAUGAGCCUGCUCGCCUGUUCAGCUCUUGGACGGAAAAGCCUUUGUCAUUCUAUCUCCAGGGCCCGGCAGACUGUCAGAUAUGUAACAAAUUCCAUGAGAGGUUAUAUUGAAACAUAUAAGAAAAAUAGAUGGAAUCAAAUUUGGAAAUACCUAGGAUCUUCUGACCUCUGGUGA
Molecule: non-coding RNA, 180 nt
Organism: Miniopterus natalensis
Lineage: Eukaryota; Metazoa; Chordata; Mammalia; Chiroptera; Miniopteridae
Source: RefSeq, a predicted model, not a curated record